This 468-nucleotide ribosomal RNA is filed under the name uncultured bacterium. RNAcentral's name for it is "partial 16S ribosomal RNA". It matches the Rfam family "Bacterial small subunit ribosomal RNA", at positions 28 to 507 of the family's 1533-position model. The record is from RNAcentral.
GACUAACGCUGGCGGCGUGCUUAACACAUGCAAGUCGAACGGAAAGGCCCUGCUUUUGUGGGGUGCUCGAGUGGCGAACGGGUGAGUAACACGUGAGUAACCUGCCCUUGACUUUGGGAUAACUUCAGGAAACUGGGGCUAAUACCGGAUAGGAGCUCCUGCUGCUUGGUGGGGGUUGGAAAGUUUCGGCGGUUGGGGAUGGACUCGCGGCUUAUCAGCUUGUUGGUGGGGUAGUGGCUUACCAAGGCUUUGACGGGUAGCCGGCCUGAGAGGGUGACCGGCCACAUUGGGACUGAGAUACGGCCCAGACUCCUACGGGAGGCAGCAGUGGGGAAUAUUGCACAAUGGGCGGAAGCCUGAUGCAGCAACGCCGCGUGCGGGAUGACGGCCUUCGGGUUGUAAACCGCUUUCGCCUGUGACGAAGCGUGAGUGACGGUAAUGGGUAAAGAAGCACCGGCUAACUACGUG